This 63-nucleotide transfer RNA is filed under the name Rhyzopertha dominica (lesser grain borer). RNAcentral's name for it is "tRNA-Tyr". Lineage: Eukaryota; Metazoa; Arthropoda; Insecta; Coleoptera; Bostrichidae. The record is from RNAcentral.
GUUGAGGUGGCUGAGUUUAAGCGUUAGAUUGUAAAUCUAUUUACGGGGUUUUCCUUCUCAUCG